UCGCCAUGGCGGUAGCUACAAUGCAAGUCGAACGGCAGCACAGGAGAGCUUGCUCUCUGGGUGGCGAGUGGCGGACGGGUGAGGAAUACAUCGGAAUCUACUUUUUCGUGGGGGAUAACGUAGGGAAACUUACGCUAAUACCGCAUACGACCUACGGGUGAAAGCAGGGGAUCUUCGGACCUUGCGCGAUUGAAUGAGCCGAUGUCGGAUUAGCUAGUUGGCGGGGUAAAGGCCCACCAAGGCGACGAUCCGUAGCUGGUCUGAGAGGAUGAUCAGCCACACUGGAACUGAGACACGGUCCAGACUCCUACGGGAGGCAGCAGUGGGGAAUAUUGGACAAUGGGCGCAAGCCUGAUCCAGCCAUACCGCGUGGGUGAAGAAGGCCUUCGGGUUGUAAAGCCCUUUUGUUGGGAAAGAAAUCCAGCUGGUUAAUACCCGGUUGGGAUGACGGUACCCAAAGAAUAAGCACCGGCUAACUUCGUGCCAGCAGCCGCGGUAAUACGAAGGGUGCAAGCGUUACUCGGAAUUACUGGGCGUAAAGCGUGCGUAGGUGGUCGUUUAAGUCCGUUGUGAAAGCCCUGGGCUCAACCUGGGAACUGCAGUGGAUACUGGGCGACUAGAGUGUGGUAGAGGGUAGCGGAAUUCCUGGUGUAGCAGUGAAAUGCGUAGA
This 670-nucleotide ribosomal RNA is filed under the name Stenotrophomonas maltophilia. RNAcentral's name for it is "bacterial SSU rRNA". It matches the Rfam family "Bacterial small subunit ribosomal RNA", at positions 33 to 694 of the family's 1533-position model. Lineage: Bacteria; Pseudomonadati; Pseudomonadota; Gammaproteobacteria; Lysobacterales; Lysobacteraceae. The record is from RNAcentral.